AGUGAACGCUGGCGGUAGGCCUAACACAUGCAAGUCGAACGGCAGCACAGUAAGAGCUUGCUCUUACGGGUGGCGAGUGGCGGACGGGUGAGGAAUACAUCGGAAUCUACUUUUUCGUGGGGGAUAACGUAGGGAAACUUACGCUAAUACCGCAUACGACCUACGGGUGAAAGCAGGGGAUCUUCGGACCUUGCGCGAUUGAAUGAGCCGAUGUCGGAUUAGCUAGUUGGCGGGGUAAAGGCCCACCAAGGCGACGAUCCGUAGCUGGUCUGAGAGGAUGAUCAGCCACACUGGAACUGAGACACGGUCCAGACUCCUACGGGAGGCAGCAGUGGGGAAUAUUGGACAAUGGGCGCAAGCCUGAUCCAGCCAUACCGCGUGGGUGAAGAAGGCCUUCGGGUUGUAAAGCCCUUUUGUUGGGAAAGAAAAGCAGCAGGCUAAGACCCCGCUGUUCUGACGGUACCCAAAGAAUAAGCACCGGCUAACUUCGUG
RNAcentral lists this ribosomal RNA (492 nucleotides) under uncultured bacterium. Its description in RNAcentral is "partial 16S ribosomal RNA". It matches the Rfam family "Bacterial small subunit ribosomal RNA", at positions 29 to 507 of the family's 1533-position model. The record is from RNAcentral.